Molecule: ribosomal RNA, 497 nt
Filed under: uncultured bacterium
Lineage: Bacteria
Description: partial 16S ribosomal RNA
Rfam family: Bacterial small subunit ribosomal RNA
Source: RNAcentral
GAUGAACGCUGGCGGCGUGCCUAAUACAUGCAAGUCGAGCGAACGGACGAGAAGCUUGCUUCUCUGAUGUUAGCGGCGGACGGGUGAGUAACACGUGGAUAACCUACCUAUAAGACUGGGAUAACUUCGGGAAACCGGAGCUAAUACCGGAUGAUAUUUUGAACCGCAUGGUUCAAAAGUGAAAGACGGUCUUGCUGUCACUUAUAGAUGGAUCCGCGCUGCAUUAGCUAGUUGGUAAGGUAACGGCUUACCAAGGCAACGAUGCAUAGCCGACCUGAGAGGGUGAUCGCCCACCUGGGAAGUGAGACAGGGCCCAGACUCCGGGGGGAGGACGCAGUAGGGAAUCUUCCGCAAGGGGGGAAAGCCUGACGGUGCAACGCCGCGGGAGUGAUGAAGGUCUUCGGAUCGGAAAACUCUGUUAUUAGGGAAGAACAAAUGUGUAAGUAACUGGGCACAUCUUGACGGUACCGAAUCAGAAAGCCACGGCUAACUACGUG